RNAcentral lists this ribosomal RNA (698 nucleotides) under uncultured Lachnospiraceae bacterium. Its description in RNAcentral is "bacterial SSU rRNA". It matches the Rfam family "Bacterial small subunit ribosomal RNA", at positions 46 to 746 of the family's 1533-position model. The record is from RNAcentral. Lineage: Bacteria; Bacillati; Bacillota; Clostridia; Lachnospirales; Lachnospiraceae.
GCCUAACACAUGCAAGUCGAACGAAGCACCUUACCUGAUUCUUCGGAUGAAGGUCUGGUGACUGAGUGGCGGACGGGUGAGUAACGCGUGGGUAACCUGCCCUGUACAGGGGGAUAACAGUUGGAAACGGCUGCUAAUACCGCAUAAGCGCACGAGAGGACAUCCUCUUGUGUGAAAAACUCCGGUGGUACAGGAUGGGCCCGCGUCUGAUUAGCUGGUUGGCAGGGUAACGGCCUACCAAGGCGACGAUCAGUAGCCGGUCUGAGAGGAUGAACGGCCACAUUGGAACUGAGACACGGUCCAAACUCCUACGGGAGGCAGCAGUGGGGAAUAUUGCACAAUGGGGGAAACCCUGAUGCAGCAACGCCGCGUGAGUGAAGAAGUAUUUCGGUAUGUAAAGCUCUAUCAGCAGGGAAGAUAAUGACGGUACCUGACUAAGAAGCUCCGGCUAAAUACGUGCCAGCAGCCGCGGUAAUACGUAUGGAGCAAGCGUUAUCCGGAUUUACUGGGUGUAAAGGGUGCGUAGGUGGCAGUGCAAGUCAGAUGUGAAAGGCCGGGGCUCAACCCCGGAGCUGCAUUUGAAACUGCAUAGCUGGAGUACAGGAGAGGCAGGCGGAAUUCCUAGUGUAGCGGUGAAAUGCGUAGAUAUUAGGAGGAACACCAGUGGCGAAGGCGGCCUGCUGGACUGUUACUGACAC